Molecule: unclassified non-coding RNA, 276 nt
Filed under: sea anemone metagenome
Description: partial contains small subunit ribosomal RNA and internal transcribed spacer 1
Rfam family: Eukaryotic small subunit ribosomal RNA (bases 1-153)
Source: RNAcentral
GCUCCUACCGAUUGAGUGGUCCGGUGAAUUAUUCGGACUGACGCAGUGCUCAGCUUCUGGACGUUGCGUUGGAAAGUUUCAUGAACCUUAUCACUUAGAGGAAGGAGAAGUCGUAACAAGGUUUCCGUAGGUGAACCUGCAGAAGGAUCAAGUUCGGAAGAGCGUCGUGUCGGGUAGGGGUGUAGAUCUCGGUGGGGUCCGUAUCGUUACAUAAAAAAAAAUCAAACCUAACAUUCACUACCAUGUACACCACAUAGUAGCUGUAACAAGUCACGC